RNAcentral lists this transfer RNA (67 nucleotides) under Marmota monax (woodchuck). Its description in RNAcentral is "tRNA.Gly". Lineage: Eukaryota; Metazoa; Chordata; Mammalia; Rodentia; Sciuridae. The record is from RNAcentral.
GGUUGUGGCUCAGAGGUAGAGCGCUAGCCUACCAUGCUUGAGGCACUGAGUUUGAUCUCCAGCACCA